Molecule: ribosomal RNA, 1557 nt
Filed under: Staphylococcus aureus
Lineage: Bacteria; Bacillati; Bacillota; Bacilli; Caryophanales; Staphylococcaceae
Description: 16S ribosomal RNA
Rfam family: Bacterial small subunit ribosomal RNA
Source: RNAcentral
UUUUAUGGAGAGUUUGAUCCUGGCUCAGGAUGAACGCUGGCGGCGUGCCUAAUACAUGCAAGUCGAGCGGACGGACGAGAAGCUUGCUUCUCUGAUGUUAGCGGCGGACGGGUGAGUAACACGUGGAUAACCUACCUAUAAGACUGGGACAACUUCGGGAAACCGGAGCUAAUACCGGAUAAUAUUUUGAACCGCAUGGUUCAAAAGUGAAAGACGGUCUUGCUGUCACUUAUAGAUGGAUCCGCGCUGCAUUAGCUAGUUGGUAAGGUAACGGCUUACCAAGGCAACGAUGCAUAGCCGACCUGAGAGGGUGAUCGGCCACACUGGAACUGAGACACGGUCCAGACUCCUACGGGAGGCAGCAGUAGGGAAUCUUCCGCAAUGGGCGAAAGCCUGACGGAGCAACGCCGCGUGAGUGAUGAAGGUCUUCGGAUCGUAAAACUCUGUUAUUAGGGAAGAACAUAUGUGUAAGUAACUGUGCACAUCUUGACGGUACCUAAUCAGAAAGCCACGGCUAACUACGUGCCAGCAGCCGCGGUAAUACGUAGGUGGCAAGCGUUAUCCGGAAUUAUUGGGCGUAAAGCGCGCGUAGGCGGUUUUUUAAGUCUGAUGUGAAAGCCCACGGCUCAACCGUGGAGGGUCAUUGGAAACUGGAAAACUUGAGUGCAGAAGAGGAAAGUGGAAUUCCAUGUGUAGCGGUGAAAUGCGCAGAGAUAUGGAGGAACACCAGUGGCGAAGGCGAUUUUCUGGUCUGUAACUGACGCUGAUGUGCGAAAGCGUGGGGAUCAAACAGGAUUAGAUACCCUGGUAGUCCACGCCGUAAACGAUGAGUGCUAAGUGUUAGGGGGUUUCCGCCCCUUAGUGCUGCAGCUAACGCAUUAAGCACUCCGCCUGGGGAGUACGACCGCAAGGUUGAAACUCAAAGGAAUUGACGGGGACCCGCACAAGCGGUGGAGCAUGUGGUUUAAUUCGAAGCAACGCGAAGAACCUUACCAAAUCUUGACAUCCUUUGACAACUCUAGAGAUAGAGCCUUCCCCUUCGGGGGACAAAGUGACAGGUGGUGCAUGGUUGUCGUCAGCUCGUGUCGUGAGAUGUUGGGUUAAGUCCCGCAACGAGCGCAACCCUUAAGCUUAGUUGCCAUCAUUAAGUUGGGCACUCUAAGUUGACUGCCGGUGACAAACCGGAGGAAGGUGGGGAUGACGUCAAAUCAUCAUGCCCCUUAUGAUUUGGGCUACACACGUGCUACAAUGGACAAUACAAAGGGCAGCGAAACCGCGAGGUCAAGCAAAUCCCAUAAAGUUGUUCUCAGUUCGGAUUGUAGUCUGCAACUCGACUACAUGAAGCUGGAAUCGCUAGUAAUCGUAGAUCAGCAUGCUACGGUGAAUACGUUCCCGGGUCUUGUACACACCGCCCGUCACACCACGAGAGUUUGUAACACCCGAAGCCGGUGGAGUAACCUUUUAGGAGCUAGCCGUCGAAGGUGGGACAAAUGAUUGGGGUGAAGUCGUAACAAGGUAGCCGUAUCGGAAGGUGCGGCUGGAUCACCUCCUUUCUAA